UAUUACUUGACAGAAUUGCCUUGAAGGUC
This 29-nucleotide small RNA is filed under the name Bombyx mori (domestic silkworm). Its description in RNAcentral is "piRNA piR-bmo-1973553". Lineage: Eukaryota; Metazoa; Arthropoda; Insecta; Lepidoptera; Bombycidae. The record is from RNAcentral.